CAUAUACGAAAGACAACAGAACUACUUUAGAAGUAGAGAAAUGUUUUGUCAGUAUAGGUAAAAGUUUAAUGCAGGCUUUUGAACAGAUACUUUAAAAAGAUUCCAUCUUGCUGGCUUUUCUUUUUUCAACCAGCCAAAUCACCAUUUAGAUGUUUCAUGCGUUGUAAAGGAUGUCUUGUUGCUUUAAUUUUUUUGGUGGUGGACCCCUGUCAUUGUGAGCUAUCACUGUCAGUCUUACUAAAUAGACAAAUAGCUGUGUAAAUAGCUUCUCAUACGACAUUUCUACUCAUAGCUGUUUGACUUUGUCUUGCCGCUAUGAAUGGGAGGAUCAUUUAUCAACUCCCCUUCUGGGUAGCUACCAAAAAAAUACUGGCUUAUGGUCCCAUGUGACCCUGUCUUUGUUAAGCCCAGAUUAUGAGUGCCUUUAGCAAGUUUUAGCAUUUCACAGAAAGAAGAGAUGAUAGAAUUAUUGCCAUUAGUCACAAUGCAUAAAAUAGGAGCUUGGAAUAACAAAGCUUUGUGUGAAUUCUAUGUUUUACAUCUUUUUUUUUUAUUCAUGCAAUCUCAAUUUGAUAUUGAGUAAAACUAUGUGAUAAUUAAUCAGGAACCAUACAUCCUAAAAAUGAAUCCAGUUGUCCAAGGCUGGCAACGGUCAUUGAUUUUUUUUUUCCACUUUGAUCUGCAUUGUAUUUAUAUGUAGUGAUCGAUAGUGUGAUGGAUUGGGAAGAGCUUGAUAUUGAUGUUUGGAAAAACUUUAUUUCAGUGUCAUUUUCAAAUACUGUCUUAUCUAAUACUGUAGAGAGGAUAGAAUUAUGUAUUUGCACAUGAACUGAAGACUGUCAUGCAUAAUACUUAUUCAUUGUGCUGUUAUGGUUCAUCUCUACAUUUAAAACAGGUAUCUUCACAAAUCAGGUUCAAGAUGUUUUAAAGUAAAAUUUUCCUUACUUCAAUGAAUUUAAAAUUCUAAAUUGCCUGUACUCUUUGAGUCUCUAAAAUGCACUGCUAAAUUAAUUUUACUGCAGAAAUACUAACAU
This 1034-nucleotide long non-coding RNA is filed under the name Bos taurus (domestic cattle). Its description in RNAcentral is "long non-coding RNA NONBTAT001009". The record is from RNAcentral. Lineage: Eukaryota; Metazoa; Chordata; Mammalia; Artiodactyla; Bovidae.